Molecule: long non-coding RNA, 762 nt
Filed under: Dromaius novaehollandiae (emu)
Lineage: Eukaryota; Metazoa; Chordata; Aves; Casuariiformes; Dromaiidae
Description: lncRNA (ENSDNVG00000007451.1)
Source: RNAcentral
UUGUGAUUUUAAAUGCCUUAUUAAGAGAUCAUUAUGGAUACUGCAUUCAUGUUUGCCAAAAAUCUUAACAGAUGAUUCUAUUCUUGAUUCUGAUAACACAGCUGUUUAUAUUGCUGCCAGUAGGAAAGGAACAGAUUAAAAGUGACUGCUGAUGAUCUUGGAGCCUGAAUUCGCAGGAUACCCUUCCUAAAGGACUACUACCAGAUGACUGCCACAGCUUUCAAAAAUGGACACAAUUGGAGUCAAACCCAUCAAAAGACAGAAGAGGAAAGAACCAAUACUUUAGCCAAGUGAGCAGAGAAGCAUCUAUUUUGUUCCUGCCAAUAAACUGAAGACAACAAGCAGAGAGUGCAAUAACGAUGUAUAAGCCAUAACUUGAUGAAAGAAUACCUAAAGGUGAACUUCGGGCAGGGCAUGCACACGCCACGGCAUCUCCAGCAGUCCUGGCCCUCCACUGGCCCCGCUGGAAGGACUCCUGUCACCCCAAUGUGGCCUUCUUGAGCCCGUGUGCCCCAAUUUUCCUUCCUCAGAACGGGUGUAGGUUGUGCCCAGGAUAUGCACAUGGAUGGAUGCACCUGGAAAUGUUUCUGUAUCCUACUGAGAGAGUUAUCCGGCGGUUUAGUCUCCUUUUAGACACUCAAGGUUGGAAAAAGAUGAUGUUAUGUUUUUACUUCUUUCAUAAUAUAUACUACCUACCUAUUUUUUUCCCCUCAAAACACAGCUUUCAUACUUUCAGUUUUUUGCCUUUGGGAGACAAUAAAA